UUUAUUUUUUUCGUGCACAGCAAGGGAUCCAUGAAGAGUUGCUGAUUCCUCUUUUCCAUGAGCCAUUUUCGUUCUUCUCAAAUGCCAUAAAUGUGCCGUCCAUGUGAGGGAAUGUGCCUCUUCGUGGAGAUUAAAAAGCUAUGACUCCUCACAUUUAUUUGGCAGCCCAUUUCUCUUCCCCAAGUUGGCCUUUGAGCUCCCCAAGCAUCCAUAAGAGCUUUCACACAAGUUGGACGAAUUUAGGCCAAUCUAAACAAUUCUAUUCAGCCAUUUCAGCUCAACCAUCACCUCAUUAAUUCAAGGCUAUUAGAAGACAUCAAAUGGCUGUCCAUUGACGUCUCCAAAGCUGGGAAUCUUCAAGAAAGCUUCAAGGGACGUUCUAGGAAGCUACAUGAAAUUUUCAAUUCAUUUGCUUUGAAAAUAAGCUGACUUUUUAGCUGCUCAAGUGUCCAUUCGGCUAGCCUAGGAAUUUAGCUAUAAAUAGUUUGCUUUGUAAUUGUUUUGGGGUUAGACAAUAUUUUUUUAAAACUUAUAUGAAAUUUGUUUACUUUGUGAGUUUGUUUUCAACUCUCAUUGUUCUCCAAGGGCUGGUUAGACUUAUCAAGUAACCCUUGUGGCGUCAACCCGUUUUUAUAUUUCGAACUUAUCACUUUGCACCCAAAGUGUGGCGUUCAAAGUUAUACCGAGGUUCCUAUCAUCUUUGAUAGUGGGUCGAGGUUCCAUUUUAUUCGUUUUCCAUCCAUACGACAUUUAACCUUUCCUAAGUAUUCGUAUCAGUCCCGGGUUAACACACUUAUAUUGUGUUGGUUCAACUUGAAUACUUGGUUUUCAUUCACCUAUCAACCUCAAUACAUUCCAUAACCCCUUUUGAACUAAAUUUGAGCCUUUAUCUCUUCUUUCUUAACCUAUUUCGUCCACCCUCGAGUAUUACUCCAAUUCACGAUCGGGAACAACAACGACUCGGAUUCAUCAACGAGGCUGGGGGCGUAUCAUUUGGUAUCAGAGCUAGCUGAAUCGGAGUAAGAUCGACGUUAUCGGUAUUACGGUAUUGUAAAAAAAUUCAAAAAAAACUUGAAAAAAAAAUUCAAAAAAAAAAUUCAAAAAAAAAGUUUGUAUUCAAUUUAUUUUUACUUUUUGUAUUUAGUAUUGAAGGAAAAAAAAGAAGAAAAAAAAUUCAGAAUUAAAAAAAAAAAGAAGAAAAAAAUAUCGAAAUUGAAAAAAAAAGAGUGAUUGAAAUUCAUUUUGGGUUUGUAAAAGCAUUGCUUGUUGCCCGAAGGACCAUAUCUAUAUAGCCACACUUAACCAUUUCUAUUUUGUUUGAUAGCCUACCAUUUCCGACAUCAUUACCCACCAAGCCAAAUCAAUUUUGUAAGCCGACGCCAAACGGUAUUGAUUCGUCGACUUAGUUUGCGAAGAACUUCGGGAGGCGAAAAAUCGAGUGGAAAAAGGCAAGAGUGAUUGGUGAGACCAUUUGAGAGAAGUAAAAGCCAAGUUGUGUGAAUUUUCUUUGCGAGUGAAACGUGAGAUUUUUGUGGUGAGCAAUUAAAUCAUGUCUCAAGAAGAAUUUUUCGAAUCAGAAUUCCAAUAUUUGAUGCAAGAAAUGCGUAGAAUGGUAAAAUUAAAAUUUGAUAAAUUGCAUUAUCGUUUGGGCCAAGUGGAGGAAAAGGCCCGACGGAAACAAAAUCUACCAAGUCGAGAAACGGAGUUAAGAUCAUCCCGACGACACUACUCGACAAGAGACUCUUAUCAAGACUUCUAUUCAACAAGGCGUUCGAGACCAAGAGAAGCAAACUCCGAGUUUGAGUCUUUCCGAGAUGAUAAACGAAAAGGUAAACGUGUCUCUACAAGUGCCUCAAUUUAUUCAUCUACAAAGGAUUAUUUAUGAAGAGGUGCACGUGUUUCAAGAGUGUCAAAGUACUCGGCUACGAAAGAUUUAUUACAAAGAGAUGAUUGUCAUUUGUAUGAAGAAUCCUUUUCUUAUUCUCAACAAAAGGUUUCUCAUUUUGAUGAUUUCUACUUUUGUAAUGGAAUUGAAAUAGCAUGUGAAAAAGAAAAAGAGCGCGAGCGAGAAAAUGAAAAUGAAAAAGAAAUGAAAGAAAAAGAAGAUGAGUGUGAGAUAGAAAAGAAAAUUGAAAAUGAGAUUGAGAAUAAAAACGAGUGCGAAAAAGAAAAGGAAACUGAAAAAGAGAGUGAGAUUGAAGGAAGAAACGAGAGUGCAAAAGAAAUGAGUGAUAUGGUAAAAGAAAGAGGAUUUGAAAAUGAGUUGGAAAAAGAAAGAAAUGAAAAGGAUGAAACUGAAAAAGAAAGGAGUGUUGUUACUAACCAUCCUAUGAAUUUUCCUUGUUUUGUUUCUACAUUUCAAGUUUCUCGAAAUCCCAUCGAUCAAUUUCAACUUCAAUACUUUUCUAAGGAGAAACGAUUUCGAUUAGUCGAGAAAGGUAAGAUCGUAGAUGACCCUAGUCCACAAGUGCUUAAAGGUAAGCCAUGUAAGGGAUCUACUGUAUUUGAGUCUUCUCAAUCUUACUUGAUUCUUGAUGACGAGAUUAGCAAAGACUUAGUUUGUGAGAAAGUUUUUCAUCUUGAUCUGAUUGGAAAUCAUAAUUUGAUUGUUGAUAAAUGUGUUUUACAUAGUAAUGUGAAAUAUCUUUCUGCUCAUGAGCCUAUCAUUGUCAAGAUUGAUUAAGAAGUAAGUCCAGGUAAGCCCAAACAAAAUUUGGGAUUGUGUGAUGAAAAGUUGACAUCUAAUCUGUGUGCUUGUGAUGAUCAUGUGAAUUAUCUAAAUUGUGGUGUGAACUUUUCUUGUUUACGUGUGCGAAUGAAAUAUGAAGGGUUUGAUUGCUCGAAUGUAUGUAUGCCUAACUCCUAUUUGCUUGACAUGUGUGAAGUCUUGGUGAAGAAGAAAUUUUUGUUGCGUUGCGAAACGACCAAUGAAAAUCGCAUUUUUAAACCCGGGAUAUACAUUCCUAAGUUAACGUCAAGCCAAGCAAGAGGAAGCUUCGUUUUUGACCCCGGAGAUUAUUAUUCUUUGUUCUUGUUAAAAGGGUUUGGAUUUUGCAAUUUUGACUUUCGAGAUUAUGUCUUUCGACUGUUUUGUGGUUCGGAUUUGUUUCUAUCCAUGAACUUUUUGAUUCAUUUUGGAAAGGUAAGACCGAAUUUCAUUUUUGAUCCUGGCAUUGGGUUAAGCAUCCCAAUUUUGAAUAAGCAUCUAAAAAUAUCAUUUGUGUUUAUAAUUUUUAGUGUCUCUAAUUCCUUUCAUUCUUGUGUAGGUGACACUCUAAAUUGUUUCCCUCUUAAAGAGUGAGGGCGUGGAAAUAAUUCAAUUUCUUAUCGAACCAUUUGUGAUUUUCAAAGUUUAGGAAAUGAUUCUAUUCGGAUCAUGAACAAAAGGGUUCGAGAUCUUGAAAAAAAUUUUCUCGAGCAAAUGGCCUGAUUUGAGGACAAAUCGCCUUAAAGAGGGAGGGGAUGAUACGACCACGCCUCGGGCACAUUUUUCGAUCAGCUCCAUAAGUAUUUCUUGCACACCCAUGCGAGCUAAAUUAGCUCAAUUGCAUCUCGCUGAGCUUCGUUUAGCUUGUUUCCAGCUCAAUGGGAUCAUUUUGCUCAAUUUGAGUUUAUUUUAAUUCUUAAAUUUUCAUUUGCUAAAAUAAAUUGAAUAAGUUAGUUUAUUUAUUUAUUCCAGCACAACUAAGUGUUAGUAUUAAAUUUAUUAAAAUUGGACAUUUUAAUUAGGUGUUUUAAAUAUGUUUUAUUUUUAUGUUUUUUUUAAUGUGUCCUAUUUUCAUACAUAGCAUAAAUAUGUCUAGGCUAUUACAUCUAUUUAUUAUGACGAAUUUAAUGCUGCCACUGCAUGUUAUAAAUAUGUCAGGACGAAAUUAAUGCUGCUGCUACAUGUUUGGACGAAUUUAAUGUAUGUUUUUAAGGUGUCCAGCUGAAUUUAAUUGUCAUUACAUCAUUUAAUUUGCUUUGCUACAACCGAAUUUAAUGAUGUCUUAAAUGGUGUCCAGUUGAAGUUAAUUGUGGCUGCCGAAUUAAAUAUGUCUAGUUAACCAUUUAAUGUUGUCUUAACAUGAAUUAAUGGUUGUUGCAUGCAGGUACAUGGACAGCAUUAAAAGAAGUGGUUGUUGCCGAAAUUAAAAUUGCUGGAAUUAAUGUGCAGCAAAAGCAAUUAUGGAUGACCAUUCAAUGGAUGCUGGAAGCAUUUAAGGAGCUGCUUGUGCUUUUUCAUGUGGCCAUUUAAUGGACGAAAUUAAAGAAGCUGCUUGCUGAUUUAUUGUGCAGCAAAGCCAUGAAUUAAAUGUGAUGUUCCACAUGCAAGGAACGUCUACUUAAUGAGCUACUGAUUUAUUUUUUUCGUGCACAGCAAGGGAUCCAUGAAGAGUUACUGAUUCCUCUUUUCCAUGAGCCAUUUUCGUUCUUCUCAAAUGCCAUAAAUGUGCCGUCCAUGUGAGGGAAUGUGCCUCUUCGUGGAGAUUAAAAAGCUAUGACUCCUCACAUUUAUUUGGCAGCCCAUUUCUCUUCCCCAAGUUGGCCUUUGAGCUCCCCAAGCAUCCAUAAGAGCUUUCACACAAGUUGGAUGAAUUUAGGCCAAUCUAAACAAUUCUAUUCAGCCAUUUCAGCUCAACCAUCACCUCAUUAAUUCAAGGCUAUUAGAAGACAUCAAAUGGCUAUCCAUUGACGUCUCCAAAGCUGGGAAUCUUCAAGAAAGCUUCAAGGGACGUUCUAGGAAGCUACAUGAAAUUUUCAAUUCAUUUGCUUUGAAAAUAAGCUGACUUUUUAGCUGCUCAAGUGUCCAUUUGGCUAGCCUAGGAAUUUAGCUAUAAAUAGUUUGCUUUGUAAUUAUUUUGGGGUUAGACAAUAUUUUUUUAAAACUUAUAUGAAAUUUGUUUACUUUGUGAGUUUGUUUUCAACUCUCAUUGUUCUCCAAGGACUGGUUAGACUUAUCAAGUAACCCUUGUGGCGUCAACCCGAUUUUAUAUUUCGAACUUAUCACUUUGCACCCAAAGUGUGGCGUUCAAAGUUAUACCGAGGUUCCUACCAUCUUUGAUAGUGGGUCGAGGUUCCAUUUUAUUCGUUUUCCAUCCAUACGACAUUUAACCUUUUCUAAGUAUUCGUAUAAGUCCCGGGUUAACACACUUAUAUUGUGUUGGUUCAACUUGAAUACUUGGUUUUCAUUCACCUAUCAACCUCAAUACAUUCCAUAACCCCUUUUGAACUAAAUUUGAGCCUUUAUCUCUUCUUUCUUAACCUAUUUCGUCCACCCUCAAGUAUUACUCCAAUUCAUGAUCGGGAACAACAACGACUCGGAUUCAUCAACGAGGCCGGGGACGUAUCAAGUUGUGCCGUAACAUGAUGCGACUGGGAUCGCAUCAAUCCCGGUCGCAUCAUGUUACGACAUAACUCAACGCUACCGAGAUUGGUCCAAACUCGAGGGGCCCAAGUGCAAAAUGAAGUUUUUAAUUUUAGUUUGUCAAUUUGGCUACUGAAAAAUAAGGACUUUGAUUCAUUAAUUUUUAGUUAUUUUAGUUUGUGUUUUUUAAUUAUGUCAUAGUUUGCACAUCAUUAAUAUGUGUUCUGCAUUUAAUAAAGUCAUGCA
Molecule: long non-coding RNA, 5593 nt
Filed under: Gossypium barbadense (sea-island cotton)
Lineage: Eukaryota; Viridiplantae; Streptophyta; Magnoliopsida; Malvales; Malvaceae
Description: long non-coding RNA (GBAR_LNC019132)
Source: RNAcentral